Molecule: ribosomal RNA, 497 nt
Filed under: uncultured bacterium
Lineage: Bacteria
Description: partial 16S ribosomal RNA
Rfam family: Bacterial small subunit ribosomal RNA
Source: RNAcentral
GAUGAACGCUGGCGGCGUGCCUAAUACAUGCAAGUCGAGCGAACAGACGAGGAGCUUGCUCCUCUGACGUUAGCGGCUGACGGGUGAGUAACACGUGGAUAACCUACCUAUAAGACUGGGAUAACUUCGGGAAACCGGAGCUAAUACCGGAUAAUAUAUUGAACCGCAUGAUUCAAUAGUUAAAGACAGUUUUGCUGUCACUUAUAGAUGGAUCCGCGCCGCAUUAGCUAGUUGGUAAGGUAACGGCUUACCAAGGCGACGAUGCGUAGCCGACCUGAGAGGGUGAUCGGCCACACUGGAACUGAGACACGGUCCAGACUCCUACGGGAGGCAGCAGUAGGGAAUCUUCCGCAAUGGGCGCAAGCCUGACGGAGCAACGCCGCGUGAGUGAUGAAGGUCUUCGGAUCGUAAAACUCUGUUAUUAGGGAAGAACAAAUGUGUAAGUAACUAUGCACGUCUUGACGGUACCUAAUCAGAAAGCAACGGCUAACUACGUG